Molecule: long non-coding RNA, 1905 nt
Filed under: Capsicum annuum
Lineage: Eukaryota; Viridiplantae; Streptophyta; Magnoliopsida; Solanales; Solanaceae
Description: long non-coding RNA (CANN_LNC021890)
Source: RNAcentral
UUCCCCUUCCUUUUCUUCCUUCCGCCUCUUCUCCACCAUGUCAUAUAAGAACCCUAAUUUUUCAUAGCCUGCCGCCACUCAGCUUUACUAUCGAGAAUCUCCUAAUUAUGUAUCAUUUAACCUAUAAAAUCGAAAUUAGCAGGAGAGGCAGUCCCCAAAAUGGUGUUACAGUUGAUUUCAAUUUCAAAUCCGUUAUUAAUGGCUUAAAAAGAGUCGAGAUUUGGAUAUCUUUUUCUUUGAAUCUAUUUUUGUCCUCUCUCCUUCCCAUUUUUUAUUGCAAACUUUCAAAUCCGAAGUUUGGAUUUGGCACCUAUAAAUAUGGGUAUUAUUCACCCAUUGAUGGAGAGGUUUUGAAAGACGAAAGAAGAAGGUUUUGAAAGACUAAAAAAAGGGUUCAGGAUUGAGAAGAAAGCAAAAAAAAAGGGUUAAAAAUCUUGAGAAAUUUUAGAUCUGUAAGAAGAGUUUGAAAAACAAACAAAAAAAAAGGAAAAAGGAGAGGUUCGCGAGGGAAAACCAGUGAAGGAGGUUUCAAAAACCAAAGGUUUCUCCUUUAGUUCCUGAUACGAAUUUAGAGUUUCGGGGUUGAGUUUGUCAUUAGAAGUUUGUCGUUGAGGCUCCGGUUUUGUUGCCCCGCAAAAGGUGCGAACCCACUUUUUUUUGUUUUAUUUUUGCCUUUUUUUCACACAUUCACUCUAAUUCUAUGAAUAUGGGAUUAACACUGAUCUUGAAGUAUUGUUGUUGUUGCUGUGUGUGUGUUUCUGCGAACAAGAAUUUGGUCCUAUUUUUGAGAUUAUAUUUGCAUGCAGGCAUGAUUUGGUUUCAAUUUUAGUUGAGUAUUGUCGUCCAUUUUGCGUAAAAUAGAGCCCAAUACAUGACCUUAUUUUAAGUUUUCAUGGCUUCCUACUUUAUGUGAAUAUGGUCUGGGGUCGUUUAUGGGGUAUUAUCGAAUGAAAAAGAAGCAGUGUUAGCAUUAAAAUUAAACUUCUUCAUUAUGAAAUGAAAAUAGCUUUUUCAUUACUUUAUUUCGCUUUGAUAUUGUCGUGUACUUUUCUUAGUUCUUUUAUUUGGGGGGUUUUGUUUCUGACUCGUUUUGUUGUUGGAUCAUUGUUGCAAUUAUCGCUAUCGAUAUUGGGGCUCAGAUCUCACAUUUUAAUCCUAAAUGGCUUAACAGAUUUGUUUGAUUUUUUUUUUAGCUGUAAGUGAUGAUUGAGUUGUUCAUGACGUGGACUUAUAGCUUUAAAAUUAAUUGAAUCACCUCACUUUUCGGACUCAUUAAUACAAGACUUAUGUGUUCUCAUAUCUAUUCUACAUAUAAAUGUUAGAUCAUGUAUAUUUCUGAGCCAAUUUUUUUCAUUAAUGAGUUUAUUUGAGUUUAACUUUCAGGAUCAUUAAUUAAACUUUAGCUUGAGUUACUUUACAUUAUCAUGUUCCCAUUUUUGAAAAAUUUCAGCUUGCUAAAAUAUUGCACUAAUUGUAAACUCCAUUUGGGUAACAAUUUAUCAAGUACAUGUUUAGUGCAUUUACAUCCCGCCUAAUCGCCAUGUUGGGAGUGUGAAUUACUUGAUCACAUAUUGCAUAUUAUUUUCUAUUACAUAUCUGUUUCUCAAGUCUAAUUACUAAUCCUUAUCUUUUUUUUUCUUACAUGGAACACCCGAGAGUUGGAGUUCUGCAAUGGAACUUGUUUCGACCCAACAUUGGGUCAAACGCUACUAGGAGUGCAGAGCCUCGGAGUCCCACAGAUUAGGAGCCUAAAUUCCCCAAAUGGGAUUUUUAUAUUCCUUUUCCUCUUUAGAUUUAAUUUACAUUCGGCAUAUUGAUUCUUUCGUUACAACUAACUCUCAUUGUCAAUUUUGCUUAAGGUAGUUUUAUUUGAUUGUUUGAAUUAUUUUGCUAUACUAGUUGUUG